RNAcentral lists this unclassified non-coding RNA (342 nucleotides) under soil metagenome. Its description in RNAcentral is "partial contains 5.8S ribosomal RNA, internal transcribed spacer 2, and large subunit ribosomal RNA". The stretch from base 1 to 120 matches the Rfam family "5.8S ribosomal RNA", at positions 35 to 154 of the family's 154-position model. The record is from RNAcentral.
GAUGAAGAACGGAGCGAAAUGCGAUAAGUAGUGUGAAUUGCAGAAUUCAGUGAAUCAUCGAAUCUUUGAACGCACAUUGCGCCUCCUGGUAUUCCGGGAGGCAUGCCUGUUCGAGCGUCAUCAAAAACCUCAACCCAUGAUUUAUUGUGAGUUGGUUCUGCAUUGGACUCCUUGUGGGUCCUUUGCGAAAUCCAAUGGCGAAGAGCCACGCAACCAAAGCGUAGUAUAACUAUUUCGUUAUGGAAGCGUGGGUGCCUCUGCCGUAACCCCCAAUUUCUUAGUUUUUGACCUCGGAUCAGGUAGGGAUACCCGCUGAACUUAAGCAUAUCAAUAAGCGGAGGA